This is an RNA transcript of Dipodomys spectabilis (banner-tailed kangaroo rat), 3519 nucleotides long. It is a transcript of the gene named N-alpha-acetyltransferase 16, NatA auxiliary subunit, with no coding region annotated. Lineage: Eukaryota; Metazoa; Chordata; Mammalia; Rodentia; Heteromyidae. The transcript has 21 exons. The record is from RefSeq and is a predicted model, not a curated record.
CUCCGGGGAGUCGCGGCGGUCGCUCGUCAAAAAGGUCCCUCACAAACGACGGCGUGUGCCGUCCCCGCUGCAUCUCGUUCCCUCGCCAGUUCUGUCCUCGCUGCCUGGCUAGCGAGGUCUCGGCCGAUGAAGUAAGCCGUCCCCCGCGGCCCGUCUCGGCGCCCACCGCCGGAGCCCGAGCGCGGGACCCCCGGCCCCCGCGAUGCCCGGCGUGCCGCUGCCGCCCAAGGAGAGCAACCUCUUCAAACGGGUCCUGAAAUGUUAUGAGCAGAAGCAGUACAAAAAUGGCCUCAAGUUUUGCAAGAUGAUUCUUUUGAACUCAAAAUUUGCUGAACAUGGAGAGACUUUGGCUAUGAAAGGAUUAAUAUUGAACUGUUUAGGAAAAAAAGAAGAAGCAUAUGAAUUUGUUCGUAAAGGUCUUCGGAGUGAUGUCAAGAGUCAUGUUUGUUGGCAUGUAUAUGGACUCCUGCAGCGGUCUGAGAAGAAAUAUGAUGAAGCUAUUAAGUGUUACCGAAAUGCUCUCAAGUUAGACAGAGAUAAUCUGCAAAUCUUGAGAGACCUGUCUUUGUUGCAGAUUCAAAUGAGAGACCUUGAAGGUUACCGAGAGACAAGAUACCAGCUUCUUCAGUUACGUCCAACACAACGUGCUUCCUGGAUUGGAUAUGCCAUUGCAUAUCAUUUGCUGAAAGAUUAUGACAUGGCACUAAAGCUAUUGGAAGAAUUUAGGCAAACACAGCAAGUUCCUGUCAACAAACUAGACUAUGAAUAUAGUGAACUGAUACUAUAUCAGAAUCAAGUGAUGAGAGAGGCAGAUCUCUUUCAAGAAUCUUUAGAACACAUACAAACAUAUGAGAAACAAAUUUGUGAUAAACUUUUGGUGGGAGAAAUUAAGGGGGAAAUAUUGUUGAGAUUGGGAAGAUUAAAAGAAGCCAGUGAAGUAUUCAAAAACUUGAUUGAUCGGAAUGCAGAAAACUGGUGUUAUUAUGAAGGCUUGGAAAAAGCUCUACAACUUAGUACUUUAGAAGAGAGGCUUCAGAUUUAUGAAGAAAUUAGUCAGCAGCAUCCCAGAGCAAUUGUACCUAGAAGAUUACCUUUGAAUCUUGUCACAGGUGAAAAAUUUAGAGAACCAGUGGAUAAGUUCCUGAGAGCAAACUUCAGUAAAGGGUGCCCACCCUUGUUCACUACUUUGAAAUCUUUAUAUUACAAUACAGAAAAGGUUUCUAUAAUCCAAGAACUUGUUACAAAUUAUGAAGCCUCUCUUAAAAGGUGUGACUUUUUUAGCCCCCAUGAGAAUGGGGAGAAGGAACCUCCAACAACUCUACUUUGGGUUCAGUAUUUCCUGGCCCAGCACUUUGAUAAACUUGGACAAUAUUCUUUGGCUUUGGAUUAUAUUAACGUUGCAAUAACUAGUACUCCAACUCUAAUAGAAUUAUUCUAUAUGAAAGCAAAAAUUUACAAGCAUAUGGGUAAUCUCAGAGAAGCUGCAAAGUGGAUGGAUGAAGCUCAGUCUUUGGAUACAGCUGAUAGAUUCAUUAAUUCCAAAUGUGCAAAAUACAUGCUUCGAGCAAAUAUGAUAAAAGAAGCAGAGGAAAUGUGCUCUAAGUUCACAAGGGAAGGAAUAUCUGCCAUGGAAAAUCUAAAUGAAAUGCAGUGUAUGUGGUUUCAGACAGAAUGCAUUUCAGCUUAUCAGCGACUUGGGAGAUUUGGGGAUGCCUUGAAAAUAUGCCAUGAAAUAGAAAGGCAUUUUUUUGAGAUAACCGAUGAUCAAUUUGACUUCCAUACAUACUGCAUGAGAAAGAUGACCCUUCGUGCCUAUGUUGACCUCUUGAGGCUAGAAGAUACUCUCAGAAGACAUGCCGUUUAUUUCAAGGCUGCUAGAUCAGCAAUUGAAAUAUACUUGAAAUUAUAUGAUAAUCCCUUAACCAGUGAAAGCAAACAACAAGAAAUAAAUUCAGAAAGCCUGUCGGCCAAAGAAUUAAAGAAAUUACUUAGCAAGCAAAGAAGAGCUCAGAAAAAGGCUAAAUUAGAAGAAGCGAGAAAACAUGUGGAAAGGGAACGUCAACAGAAAAGUCAAAAGAAGAAAAGAGAUGAUGAAGAAGAAACAGCCAGUAGUCUUAAGGAAGAACUUACACCUGAAAAAUUGGAAAGGGUAGAGAAUCCAUUAGAAGAAGCUAUCAAGUUCCUUAUUCCUCUUAAAAACCUUGUUGCUGAUAACAUUGAAACUCAUCUCCUGGCAUUUGAAAUAUAUUUUAGAAAAGGGAAGUUUCUAUUAAUGCUACAAUCUGUCAAACGAGCUUUUGCCAUCAACAGUAAUAACCCAUGGUUACAUGAAUGCUUAGUUAAGUUUUCUAAAUCUGUAUCCAGUCAGAGUAAUCUUCCUGAUGUUGUGGGUCAGGUACUAUCUCAAGAAAUGCAGAAAAUAUUUGUCAACAAAGAUUUGGAAAGUUUUAAUGAGGAUUUUCUCAAGUAUAACACUACCUCUCUUCAACAUCUGCUUUCAGGUGCUAAAAUGAUGUAUUUUCUGGACAAAUCAAGGCAAGAGAAAGCAAUUACUAUAGCCACUAGGUUGGAUGAGACUGUAAAAGAUAAAAAUGUAAAGACUUUAAUAAAGGUUUCUGAGGCACUGCUUGAUGGCAGCUUUGGGAACUGUAGCUCCCAGUAUGAAGAAUAUAGAAUGGCCUGUCAUAACUUGUUUCCUUAUACAUCUGCUUUCCUGCCUACUCUGAAUGAAGUCCACAGUACCAGUGAAGCACUGAACUGUACAGCUGAUAACUGUGAUGUCUUAACAAAUGAAAUCUGAAAUCUUGUAAGAAGCUGACUCCUGCAGACUCACAGCUGAAUUUACAUCAAGGGUUUUUUUCUCCCCCAAGUAUCUAAGGAAAUGAUACUUUCUGGUUGAACAAAGGUACUCCAGUUUUAUGUAAAAUAUUCUGAAUGUGAAAUAGAUUUGCCUUCUAAUCAUGUAAAUUUAUUGGUAAAUUCAUUGCCUAUCUAUGCUAGUCUUAAUGACCCACAUGCUAGAGUUGUGCUGUUUUAACUGAGUUGCUUAGGGAGUUCACAAGUAAUUUACCCUAAGAAGUAAUGCGUUUUGGAAGAGCUUAAUGGGCCUGAAUAGAAAUAAAUAAACCACUUCUUCUAGCUGUACAGUGACUAUUAAAUGUAUUUUUAAAUCUCUAAGUGAAACGAGAAUUUACUCCCAUUAGAAGAACAGAAUUGUGGUGUUUUGGGGGAGAUACCUUUUUGGAGAGAGAGCUUUUUGUCAUGUCUUGUGCAGGAAACAGUAAUGGAAUCAUUCAGUAUGUCUCAGAGCUGUGUAAAUAUGACUGUAAUAUUACUGCUUCCUUUCAAGCAAAUGUAAACUCAAAAAGGGAGAUUAAGACAAAUAAUUUAAUUAAAAUAAUGUUCUUUGACUCUAAAGCUUUCAGAUUUAUAAUUACUAAGGGGGAGGAGGAGUUAAAACUCACUGUAAAAUAAUACCUGCUUAGAUAAUGCUAUAAUAAAUUAUUUUGUACACAGUUA